GACCUCAAAUCAGGUAAGAAUACCCGCUGAACUUAAGCAUAUCAAUAAGCGGAGGAAAAGAAAAUAACAAUGAUUCCCUCAGUAACGGCGAGCGAAGAGGGAUAAGCUCAAAUUUUAAAUCUGCUGGGUUUCACCUAACAGAGUUGUAUUUUGAAGAAACGUUUUCUGCGUCCAGGUUAGCCUAAGUCCUUUGGGAUAAGGUAUCAUGGAGGGUGAGAAUCCCGUUCAUGGUUAAUCUUAAGGAUGCUCUACGAUACGUUUUCCAAGAGUCGAGUUGUUUGGGAUUGCAGCUCAAAAUGGGAGGUAAAUUUCUCCUAAGGCUAAAUAUUGGCGAGAGACCGAUAGCGAACAAGUACCGUGAGGGAAAGAUGAAAAGAACUUUGAAAAGAGAGUUAAACAGUACGUGAAAUUGUUGAAAGGGAAACGAUUGAAGUCAGUCAUACCAACGGGAAAUCAACCUUUUGAGCUUUGUAUCGUGGGUUCGAAGAGUUUAAACGCCUUCGGGUUCGCGAGAUUGGGAUCUUCUGGUGUACUUUCUCGUACGGUUAGUCAACAUCGGUUUUGAAUGUCAUAAAAUGACUGGAGGAAUGUAGCUUCGAUCUCGUAUCGAAGUGUUAUAGCCUUUGGUAGAUGUGAUGUUUGAGACCGAGGAUUGCAACGGAUACCCUUUAAGGGCUAUUCGUCUGAUCUCUGAUACGUUACCUUGAUGUUGAAAGCUUGCUUAUGAUGUUAGGGUAUUACGGUCAAAAGGUUAGAACGGAUUAAAUUCGUUAAGGAUGUUGACGUAAUGACUUUAAACGACCCGUCUUGAAACACGGACCAAGGAGUCUAACAUAUAUGCGAGUGUUUGGGUGGUUAAACCCUUGCGCGUAAUGAAAGUGAUUUUGGUGAGAUCCGGGAAAAAUUUUUCGGAGCAUCAUCGACCGAUCAG
RNAcentral lists this ribosomal RNA (931 nucleotides) under Funneliformis coronatus. RNAcentral's name for it is "LSU rRNA". It matches the Rfam family "Eukaryotic large subunit ribosomal RNA", at positions 1 to 772 of the family's 3401-position model. Lineage: Eukaryota; Fungi; Glomeromycota; Glomeromycetes; Glomerales; Glomeraceae. The record is from RNAcentral.